This 693-nucleotide ribosomal RNA is filed under the name uncultured Bacteroidales bacterium. RNAcentral describes it as "bacterial SSU rRNA". It matches the Rfam family "Bacterial small subunit ribosomal RNA", at positions 65 to 746 of the family's 1533-position model. Lineage: Bacteria; Pseudomonadati; Bacteroidota; Bacteroidia; Bacteroidales. The record is from RNAcentral.
AGGGGCAGCAUUUUAGUUUGCUUGCAAACUGAGGAUGGCGACCGGCGCACGGGUGAGUAACACGUAUCCAACCUGCCGAUAACUCCGGAAUAGCCUUUCGAAAGAAAGAUUAAUACCGGAUGGCAUACGAAUAUCGCAUGAUAUUUUUAUUAAAGAAUUUCGGUUAUCGAUGGGGAUGCGUUCCAUUAGUUUGUUGGCGGGGUAACGGCCCACCAAGACUACGAUGGAUAGGGGUUCUGAGAGGAAGGUCCCCCACAUUGGAACUGAGACACGGUCCAAACUCCUACGGGAGGCAGCAGUGAGGAAUACUGGUCAAUGGGCGAGAGCCUGAACCAGCCAAGUAGCGUGAAGGAUGAAGGCUCUAUGGGUCGUAAACUUCUUUUAUAUGGGAAUAAAGUUUUCCACGUGUGGAAUUUUGUAUGUACCAUAUGAAUAAGGAUCGGCUAACACCGUGCCAGCAGCCGCGGUAAUACGGAGGAUCCGAGCGUUAUCCGGAUUUAUUGGGUUUAAAGGGAGCGUAGGUGGAUUGUUAAGUCAGUUGUGAAAGUUUGCGGCUCAACCGUAAAAUUGCAGUUGAAACUGGCAGUCUUGAGUACAGUAGAGGUGGGCGGAAUUCGUGGUGUAGCGGUGAAAUGCUUAGAUAUCACGAAGAACUCCGAUUGCGAAGGCAGCUCACUAGACUGUUACUGACAC